Long non-coding RNA from Saccostrea cuccullata (small rock oyster), 495 nucleotides. RefSeq lists it as uncharacterized. Lineage: Eukaryota; Metazoa; Mollusca; Bivalvia; Ostreida; Ostreidae. The transcript is spliced from 3 exons. The record is from RefSeq and is a predicted model, not a curated record.
UAUGAUUUCUCUUUAUUUUAGUAUCCCGACAUGCUGGUUACUAUGUCUUUAUAACAAAUCGGACUGUAAGGGCAAGUGAACUUACCUCUUUAGAGCCAGUGUAUCACGAUGAGGAAGCCAAUGUCAGUCAUCAGAACACUAUCAUUUUUCCCGAAGGGCGGUCCGGUGUACAAGUGUUCCUUUACGUCAAUAAAUCCGAGCCAGGGACAGAGUUUGUUAUGAUAGAGCCUUGUGAGGUGGAAAUUUACGGUUGUAUUGAAGAUGAUGGCGAUAAAUGUGCUUGCUCAAACGAAACAAUAUUUGGUCCUUGGAGUACUAAUGUAGUGUUUAAUACUGGAUCCCUAGCCCUCACUUGUAACAGUAAAUACUUGUCCAUAAGGAAUCUGUCGGAGUUCGAGGAUUCACAGUUUGUUUCAAUACUGAAGAAAUGUGAUGGAAAAUCUCAGUGCGCUAUAAAAACUUCCCAUAUUCAGCACAAAUCUAUCAACUUUUACU